GCUCCAAUAGCGUAUAUUAAAGUUGUUAAGCUCGUAGUUGGAUUUCGGAGGUCCUUUGGGUCCGCCCCUUCGGGGAGCGGGUUGCUGGCCUCCUAUGUUCCUAACGGUCCUCACUCGCGAGGGUGGGGAAUCAACCGCUAGGAUCGUUUACUUUGAGGAAAUUAGAGUGUUCAAAGCAGGCGUAACUCGCCUCCGAAUACGUUAGCAUGGGAUAAUGGAAUACGACUUCGGUCUUGUUUCGUUGGUUUCGCUUGGCUGAAGUAAUGAUUGAUAGGGACAGUUGGGGGCAUUAGUAUUUAGUUGUCAGAGGUGAAAUUCUAGGAUUUACUAAAGACUGACCAAUGCGAAAGCAUUUGCCAAGGAUGUUUUCAUUAAUCAAGAACGAAAGUAGGGGGAUCGAAGACGAUCAGAUACCGUCGUAGUCUCUACCGUAAACUAUGCCGACCAGGGAUCCGGAGAGUUUGCAUGGAUGACUCCCCGGGCACCUUGUGAGAAAUCAUAAGUGUUUGGGUUUUGGGGGGAGUAUGGUCGCAAGGCUGAAACUUAAAGGAAUUGACGGAAGGGCACCACCAGGAGUUAACCAAGGUUCGGCUCCAAAAAGCAAGCGUUUGAAAGCGUCACUUGCUAGUCUUGUUAGAGCGACAUACCACUGCUCUUAUGAGGCAACACCAUCAAAUUGCGGGAACUCCUAAAGCUCGACCUACCAAGCACGGCUCGAAAGAGACUGUGUGGCCAGGGUAAUCACCUUGGGUAAGGUAACAAUGGUUCGAGAUGUAACAAUGGACAAUCCGCAGCCAAGUCCUAAGGCCCUCGUGGCUACGGAUGCUGUUCAGAGACUAGAUGUUGGUGGGUUCGAGACAUGUCUCGGGCUUAAGAUAUAGUCCACUCCCAGGGAGACCUGGUCCUUCAGAUGAGGCUUGUGGUAAGCCAGAGCUGAAGGAGUGAUUUAUUGCUUGCAACUACUACAACAUACAGCGAGUGUCUCCUUUAAACAAAGGGUAGCAUGGGUGCAAACAAGCAUCCAAGCAUUACAUGAGCGACACACCAUCUUUCCUGGACAGUUCUGGUUCGAUCGAUCCGGAUUGUCUGGUACUGCAUGUAUGUGUAGCUCAGUGACACAGCUUUUGUUGUGGCAGUCAUGAGACACCUGGUAAUUGUCUGGCCAUAGAGAAGGUCCUGUAGGGUUCGCUUUCUUCCAGUUGUAUACAGCAACAAGAAGGUGCAGCCUUACAUUGGUCUUCCCUGUGCUUCCUAGCGAUUGCCUGAAAAACGACAGAGAUGUCCUCGGGUACUUGCUCUUCUGGCGCCUUACUAGACAGCUGCCUUGCUUAGUAGCAAUCUUCUGAGCACGACGGACUAGGUCUUUUAAGUCACCCAGUGAGAGGUUUGCCAAGUCUGAGAGAUAUUCUGCGUGUCUUGUGGUGUUGUUCAUUGUUCAAUUUGAAUAAAUGAACGACAGGCAUGCAACAAAAAGACUGAAAACAAAAAGUCGUACAAAUUUCUAACAAAUUUCGUACAAUUUUCAUCAGUCUUUGCAAUCACGGCCAAGUGGGAACCUGCGGCUUAAUUUGACUCAACACGGGGAAACUUACGAGGUCAGGACACUGUGAGGAUUGACAGAUUGAUAGCUCUUUCUU
RNAcentral lists this ribosomal RNA (1637 nucleotides) under Vermamoeba vermiformis. RNAcentral describes it as "bacterial SSU rRNA". The stretch from base 1 to 677 matches the Rfam family "Eukaryotic small subunit ribosomal RNA", at positions 588 to 1831 of the family's 1831-position model. Lineage: Eukaryota; Tubulinea; Echinamoebida; Vermamoebidae. The record is from RNAcentral.